AAAAAAAAAACCCCUCAGAGCGAGGUCUCGGAGCGAGGUCGAAAGGUCGCUCCAGCUGGGAGCGACGUUAUGGGAGCGAUACCUCGGAGUCGCUCGCAGUUUCGACGAAACGGAGUUCAAAAACUAACCCAGAGCGACGCCCUAGCGCGACACCUUGACGUCGCUCCAGCUCAGAGCGAGGUUUCUAGAGCGAUACUACAAGGUCGCUCGCAGUUUCGACGAAACGGAGUUCAAAAACUAACCCAGAGCGACGCCCUAGCGCGACACCUUGACGUCGCUCCAGCUCAGAGCGAGGUUUCUAGAGCGAUACUACAAGGUCGCUCGCAGUUUCGACGAAACGGAGUUCAAAAACUAACCCAGAGCGACGCCCUAGCGCGACACCUUGACGUCGCUCCAGCUCAGAGCGAGGUUUCUAGAGCGAUACUACAAGGUCGCUCGCGGUUUAGUCGAAACACGACGCGACGAAACGACUCGGGAGCGACCUCUCCCAGCGACACCCUCACGUCGCUCCCGAACCGGUCCAGGUAAGUUUCCUAACUCUAAACCCCGGUUUAACUCAAGUAAACCGACCCUAACCACCCUAGACUGAGCCGGACGACCCUAAACCUACCCCAACCCCCGCGACUCCAUCUCUAUCACUCUCCCUUCCUCUCAAAAACUCACAAACUCUCUCAAACUCACCCACACCAAAAUUCCCAAAACCUUCUCAAUUCUCACCCAAAUCAACUAGUUCUUGUUUCUAAAUCCAAGCUUUCGCCCCUGUAGUCUAUUCUUCACUACCCAUUCACCAUUUCCUUUCAUCCAGAGCAAGGUAUUGAGUUUUUAAAUUCAAAUUCGUAGGUCCAUGAACCCUAGAAUUUGAAAGUCGAAAUUUGGUUCUUUUCUUGCUAGAUUGUGGUGAAAUAGACUAGGGAAAGUUUAUCUAUCAAGUUGGGUUGUUGAAUUAAUGGUGAAAUUGAGUUUAAAUCGCACUUAGGCAAAAUUAGGAUUCAUGGAUUUGGGGGUUUUUCGAAUUUGAUCUUAAUUGGGUGUGUUUGUGGGUGGACUAGAUGAGUUAAGAUGUUACAUUGUUGCAUUGUGUUGAACUUGAGUUUAAACUGAAAAAUUCACCUGUUAAGUUCACUUUUGCAAAAAUUUUCACUUGCAAAGUCUUGCUUUUCUUUACUUCCAUCUACUUAUCCCUUUCCAAGUUGGUAAUUUUUCAGGUGAAAAUGGUUAAGAAGACAAAGGGAAGGUUGGAAGCUGAGAGUCAAGAAGCCGAAAGUCAAGAGUUUGCACUAAGAGGAAAAGCUUUAACCAGCGAGCCAACUGGCUCAGGGACGCAUAGGACUGUGCGACAGCAGACGUUGGCUGCAAAGAAAUCGAAAGAACACGAGAAGAGGGCAGGAAAAAGCGUACCAGUUAACACCCAUGAGGAAGGUGAAACUGAGAGUGAAGAUGAGCCGGCACCUACGAAGAAAGCCAAAAUGUCAAAGGGCAAAGGGGUUGCUGUUGAUCGAGACAGAACGAAAACUCCAUCUGUGGAGGAGCUAUAUGAUCAUUUGAAGAAUGGAGUCACUUGGGCUCCAACCAGGUUUGCCGACCUCGAUUUGCUGAAGGAGUUGGGUCUAGAGUCUGAUAUUGAGACGAUGCUGGGACAUUUGAAGAUGCCAAAACUCCUCACCAUGGCUUAUCCUUUCUACAAGGAUGUCACUUGUCAGUUCCUAUCCUCUCUUGUGGUCACUUACCAUGACACGGCGCAUGUGAGACAAGGAUGGGGAAAAAUCAGGUUCAAGGUCAAUGGAAGAGAAUUCAACAUGAACUUCAAGGACAUUGGGAGGGUCAUGGGGUUCCAAGACCUAGAAGACCACUCACUUCCCAAGUGUGAGAACCUCCCCACACAGCUCUGGAAGUUGAUCACUGGAAACAAGCACUCUACCGGGGCGGACAAGAACUCACACAUCCGACACCCGUCUGUACGCUACCUCCACAGAUUGCUAGUCCAUGCUUUUUACCCACGGAAGCAAGCUGGUACGGUUACUGAGGAAGACAUGCGACUGCUCUGUCCGGCUAUCCGUCCAUACGCUCAACCUGGACUGUUACCCCUUCCCAGCACUGAUAUCUAUGCUACCUUUGGGAUUGUCAGUUUCUUUGUGGGCCGUCUCGAGCACUACAGAGACUGGGCGUGGUACACCACUGAUUCGCGCCCAAAGAUGGGGAUAGGCGGAAUGAUCACACCACUGCUCCAAUUUCUGAAUGUUCCCUUGGGAAAGGACGCAGCGGGGCCUAGGUUCAUUGAUGGCACCUACUUGAGGAUUGCCACAUAUUUCAGUGGGAUGUAUGGGAAGGACUACGUCUACCACUACUACUUGCAGGGCAAGCCAGUCGAGGUGGUUCUUCCAAACCGGAACCUGACGAGUUUAGAGAUACCUGGAGCUGUCAGCUUCAACAUUCCCCAGGAGUACUUUCUCGGAGAACACGGGCCUCUCGAUCCAAUUCAACCAGCUCCAUCAAGGAAAAGGAGUGUCCCUACGCAACCUGACUCGCCUGUUGCAGACACAUCUGAGCAUAUCUAUGGACCUCCGCGCUACUACUUCAAGCCCCAUGACGGAGUCCUUCCACCUGGAGCUCUCCGUGAUGCUCAUGACCACAUUGGUCGUCUCCAGAGGUGGAACAAAGCUCAGGACAGAACGAUAGAAAAGCUGAAGGAUAAGUGCAAGGCGCUCAGCAAGACUGUGAAGAAGCAGGCAAAGACUUCAGCCAAGUUCAUGAAGAAAGUAGCUGAUGUCUUAACUAGGGGAGGAAUAGCUGGAUGUAGCUCAGCCGAUUUCGCUUUUGCGAACACCUCAAACCCCCAGCCUCCACCACCGUCUGAUGCUCUUGGCUUCCCCCUCACUGCUGCGCAGCUUCAGCGUAAGUGGAGGAACCCACCCACUCAACCUUCCACUUCAGGCAACAAAUCCCCAUCCCUCGCUUCUUCAAACAGUGAGGACGAGAUUGACGAGGUUGAGAGCCAACCAUGGUAUGGAGGCUCCGGUUCAGCAUCUGGUGGUUACUACACCACCUUCCCUCCUGACGACGACGAUGCUGGGGCAUCUGCACAGGUUCAGCAUCCGGUGGUUACUACACCACCUUCCCUCCUGACGACGACGAUGCUGGGGCAUCUGCCCCCACAUACUAUCCAUAGGAGGUACUUCUUUCUCUCCCUUGUAUAUACCAUUUCAUUUUUGCAAAUUAGUUUUCUUCUCGGUAUCUCUCUCUUUCCUUGAACACAGAGACUGUGUAUCUAAAGUUUGGGGGAGGUACCAAGCAUUUGAUCAUGUUUGCUUUGAUUGUGUUUCAUUUGAGUCAUGCAUUGAACACCUAUUUGCAUAAAAAAAAAACAAAAAAAAAAAACAAAAACAAAAAAAAAGAUUUUUCAUUUAGAUUGCAUCAUUUGCACCAUUAGGAGAGUCUAGAGCAUAUAGGUUGCAUUCACUUGCAUUGGGAGCAAUGAUUUUAAAUACCUUGUAAAGAACACUACGUUGCACCUGAGUAUCCAUGCACCUCUCGAAAAGACUUGUAUGUUUCGAGCCUUGAAAACUCUUCUUGAAACUUGUUGAUUGUAGAAACUCAGUCUUUGAAGCCAGCUACAACCUUAUUUAGGGUCUCUUGUGUACUGAGUCAUGGCUAUACACACUUGAGUUGUCACAUCUUUUAUGCCAUUCUUUUUGACAAACUCUAGUGGUAGACCACUCCCAAAACCUUUCCUUCCUUUUAAGCUUUCAUUGUUUGAUGAAUGAGGCCUUCUUCGGAAAGUUUUACAUGUGCAUAAUGUUGAGAGUAUCGGGAACGACAAUGCUUGAUCUUCAUUUUUGCUGGAUUGGACACUCUAUUGUCUAGCUAUAGGUGGGAGGGUGAGCGUUGUAAUCAUGAUUUGGGAGAAAUAAAAAGGAUAGAUUCUUGUGCUCAAGUGAAUUGAUUUAUUGGGAUAAGUAGAGAACCUCCAGCUCUAGUUUUGAAAAGUCUUGGCCCCCAACCUAAAAAAAAAAAUAAUAAAAAAAAAUAGAAGAAACCGAAAACUAAAAAAAAAAAAAAAAAAAAGAAAGAACAAAAAUAAAAAAAAAAAAAAAGAAAAAAACGAAAAAAAAAAAAAAAAAAAAAAAAAAAAGAGAGAGAAAAAGGGGGCUAGCAAAGUUGUUAGGAGCUGAGAGACAUUUUGAGGUUGUGAAAAAUCCCUUAUAGAUUUCAAGGAAAAAGAGCUGAUGUUUUUAGAAUCUUUUGGUGAGAGGUGUGAGUUGGGUUUGACAUUUGAGAGUGAAUGUGUAACUUAUAUGUUUGGGAAAAGGGUAGAACAAUGGAGAUUGAGCAUUGUAUGCAUGAGUUGGUCCCUUUCUUAGAUAUAUUAUGUGCAAUGUCAAGGCUACUUGUUUUGAGAGUAAACCACCUUAAAGAUCAUAUGUUUUGAACCUCUUGAAUCACUUGAAUAAAAGCCUUCCCUUACCCAACCAAAUGACUUGGACCAACUGACCAUUUGCAAGAAUUCACUUGAUAUCUUAUGCUUAAUGAAUGUGAGAGUUGGCAGAUCUGAAUGUGUGGAUGCUUGAUGAUGAGUGUAGGGACAAAAGGAGUUGAGAUAGGCCUAGAGAAGCUAGAGUGUAAUAAGAGAGUGUGCUAAUUGUGUUUGCUAGUGGUGUUUCUUUUGGUUAUGAGCUCCCACCUUCAACCUCUCUCCCUAUGAGUUCUAGAAAGUUCACUUGUGGACAAGUAAAGAACAAGUUUGGGGGAGUUGAUAUCUUGCAUAUUUCUAUUGUUUUAUCCAUUCAUCCAUGUGCAUUUUGAUCAUAUAGAUUAGGAUUUAGCCAUGUUUAGGUUGCAUUUUGCAUACAUGAGUCCUUAUCAGGUAUUGGAGUACCACAUGGAGUUCUUGGAGACACUUGGAGGCAUUUGGAGCUCAAAAAGGAGUGUUUAGAGUGGUCAUUGGGCGAGCAAGGCAUGGGAGCGACCAGUCCGGAGCGACACCACCAAGUCGCUCUGAUCACCAGUCUGGAGCGACCUCACUAGAGCGACAGGAAAGAGUCGCUCGCGUAUUGAUCACCCGGAGACAACGGAUCCGGAGCGACCUCUCGCAGCGACACAGCGAGGUCGCUCCCGAAUCAUGGAAUUUCAGAGAGUGAAAGAUGAACACGGAUGAAAGCCUUAAAGAUCUUUUCUGAAGCUCAAAAUUUGUGGAGACACUGGAAAUUGAGUUAGCUUUCCAAUGGAAGUGGUUUCAAGUCAUUUGGAGAUGUAUUGGAUAAGUUAUAAUCGAUUUACUACAGGUGUAUCAACCCUUACCGGGGACCACUGGAAAGUUGAUGGGAUUAACCAACUUCCCACUUUCUUCCACCCACUUUUCCUUUGCACGAUUUUUCCUACUUUUCUGUAUAAUAUUUGCUUUCUUUUUAUCCAAAGAGUGGGCAAGAAACAUGAGUAUUGUACUGGGUAAUAAAGAAAAACUUGUCAAAAAACUCUCUCUCUUUGAAAUAUCAUUGUUCUUAGUGUUCUUGAGCUGUUCUUCAAUUGUUCAUCAUCUGUUCUUGAGUUCUAAUUUCGUUUUGCUUGUUUAAUCCUUGUUUAUCUUUAUUCUCUAUUGUAUUUACUUGAAUAUGCUUCAAUCUAUUAUGAGAUUAAGUGUUUUCAUGAAGAUUAGUGAGUAGUUUCCUUAAGAAUUCAUGGGUUAGGGAGAUUAGAGUAACUUAGUGAAGAUCUAUGGUGUUAUUGUAUUAGAUCCUUGUAUGAACUUGCUUGUUGAGUAUUUUUAAUGCUUGUUUAGUCUUGAUCACUCUAAACCUGAUUUCUAAACACUUCUCAUCAGACAUGAUUAGAUGAAGUGUUUGAAUCAACUCAACUAAGCUCUAGUGAGAUUAGCCAAGGACACUUGAUGUUAAAAUUGCUAGAUAGUUAUUGAACUUGAACUUAAAGAUUGCUUGAUUGAAUUAAGCCAAAGACAUUUGAUGUUUAAUGAUUUCUAAGCAAAUGGACAUUUACCUAGACAUAGGACUUGUCUAAAAUUGUGUUUAGACUUAAGAGAUUACUUUGAUUAAUGAUUUCUAAGCAAAUGGACAUUUACCUAGACAUAGGACUUGUCUAAAAUUGUGUUUAGACUUAAGAGAUUAUUUUGAUUGAAAGCUUGUCACCUAGAUUGGAUCUUAGUUACUUGAAGUCAUUUCCCAAUACCCAUGGAUUCACUUGUCUAAAUUGAUUAAAACCUUGUUGUAUUGCUCUGUUUGCUAUUGUUACUUGUAGCCCAUGGAUUCACUUGUUUAAAUUGAUUAAAACCUUGUUGUAUUGCUCUGUUUGCUAUUGUUAGUUGUCACACACUCACCACUAUUGAAUCUACUUAGCUUAAGAAAUGACUUGUAUUCUCACUGAUUCACAUCACUAGGACUGGUUCGACAUUCACCCCCCUACACUACAACAUUUGCAAUAGGCAGAAAAACCUAUUAUCAAGUAACUUUCUCCCACAGCCGGAUCCAUCGACUUCUACUUCCGGCACUGCAUCCGGCCAAGAGAAUGUGCCUGAUAGCCAAGUUCCUACUGCCGAUCCGUAUGUGCCUCCACAUGCAUAUGACCCUGAAGCUUACUAUCCGCGGUUCGAUGACCCUGCUCAAUUCUUUCCCCAGUACGAUGAGCCUCCACAGCAGCCUCGUUAUGAGCAGCAUCAUCCUCCACACCAUCCUCAGCAGCAGUCCACCGCUCCCGAAUCUGCUCCGGCUCCUGCAGUUGCUCCGGCUCCUGCAGCUGCUCCGGCUCCUGCAUUUGUUCAUCCAGAUUUGAUGGUGCCACCAAAUGCACCAUAUGCAAGAUAUACAGUGGAAGAUCUUCUCCAGAUGCCGGGACGAGAAGGUUUACCAAUCAUCAACCCAGAUCGACCACCCCCCACACUUACCGGUAAUUUUUUAAUUUAUUAAAGUUUUUAUUGCAUUUAAAUAUACUAAUUAUACAUAUUGCUCUAAAUAUAUGUAUUCUUUCAAGUUUUGUAGGUUUUCGACGGACAAUUGUGUGGGACAGAGCGUUGGAGAUAUCAUCAGGGCAAACUUCCGGGAAGCGCAUCCGAACUGGUCUCUCACACCUGACCACGUUCGGAGGACUUGGUUCAAGUGCUUCGUGGUUAGUUUUAAAUAUAAUUUUUAAUUGUUUAUUUACUUAAUUUAAUUUUUUUAUUGUAGCAAAAAUGGAAUUGGUCCAUUGCUGUCAACGAAAAAGUGAAGGAAAAGUUCUACAAAAAGGCGAUGGAUCGCCUAAAGAACAUUGUUGGUGAUUGGAAGGAGAAGUGGAGGGUUUUGGGGGACGACGAAAAAGAAGCCUACUUCAGCAAUGACGUUUGGAAGAGUUUGAAGGCUUAUUGGAAUUUGCCUAAGUCAGUUCAGAGGUCUCUCCCUUGCUCUAUGACUCGGUUGACCCGCGAUGAUGAUGGUAACCUGCCAGUACCUCAUACUUCCGGACAGAUUCCACACGCUGGGAGGGCACUACAAAUUGUAAGUCUUCGAUCUUUCUUAAUUUUUAUUAAAUAUAUAUUAAUUGAAUAUUUUUUUAAUGCGUGAGUUUAAUUUAAAUUUUUUUUUAAUACAGGCUGCCCAAGAAGGAGCACCACCAUCUCUAGCCCGACUUUACAAGACGACACACCAGCAUUCUGAUGGCACCUUCUCGCAUCCUCGAGCAGAGAGGAUCGACAACACUGUUGAGGCCCGGAUCCAGGAGGUCGAGACUCAGUUGUCGCAACAAAAUCCGGAAGGUGCACCGGUCCAGCUGUCCACCGUCGAACAAGACAAAAAUUUUUGAGCAGGUUAGAAAGUUGAUCUCUUAAAUAUAUAUGUUUAUUUACAUUUUUUAUUCUUUAAGUUAGUUUUACAUAUGUACUAAUUAAAUAUCUAUUUAUUAAUUGAAGGUUGCCCCGAAAAAAAGGGGACGUAUUGUCAGGAUCGGGUCUGUCAACGAUGUCCUGAGGGCGAGAGCUGAACACGCUGCAAGAAUGGAAGAAGAAUCUUCUCUCCGUAGGGAUUUGACUGCGGCCAAAGAAGUCAUAGCUGACCAGAGGGACAAAUUUGCAUAUAUGGCAAAUAUGUUCGAUAUGAUGAUAGAGACAACCCCAAACAUCAACCCGGCUCUUGCCUCUAGGUGGCAGUCUCUACAUCUGAGCUUUAUCCCCGAGCCCACUCCGGAAGAGCAGGCAUAUUUAGAGCGACGUGCGGAUGAGCAUAGUUCCGACCUCUUCGACGAAAUAAACCUUAACACUUAGUUUUUUUGGUUUUAGUUAAUUAGUAUUAUGAAUGUUUUAUAUUACGGAUAUUAUUAUGUUUCUGAAUGUUAGAUAUUUUCUUUUAAUUUUAUCGAAUUUUAAAAAUUAAAAUCAAAAUAAAUUUAAAUAUUUGAUUUUAAUUAAUAUAUUAAAUUCGUAAUUAAAUACAAAAUUCGAAAAUAAAUAAAUAAAGUGGGUUAAUUUACGACUAAUGAACAUCUAACGUCGAUGUAAAGUGGUCGUUACAUUACGACAAACAAACAUCGACAUAGAAGCAAAUUGGUCGUAAGUUUACGACCAAUGUACAUCUAAUUUAUGAGACGUAAAUGUGCGUCACAUGUACGACUAAUGAUUUUACGUUUAACUUACGACCAAGUGUCUGAGUCGUACAUUUACGUUUGCUUUACGACUAAUGCAUUUACGUUUAACUUACGACCAAUUUAUUGAGUCAUACGUUUACGUCUGCUUUACGUGUAACACCAUUAGUCGUAACUUUACGAUCAAUGUGCCUCGAAUAAUUAUUUACGACCAGCUUCUAACGACCAAUCGUUUUUCGAAGCUAAUUGGCCGUAAAGCCUAUAUUACAACCAAAUAGCUACUAAUAUUGUAGUCGUUAAUGUCCCGUUUGCUUGUAGUGUAAAUACUUUCUGAAUAAUAUAUUAGGGUUAGAGCUCUUAAAUUAUAUGAAUAAGCUUGGGUCAAUCUUAAAUCUCUGAACCCUAUACAACAUCCCUAGUGAUAAUCCGUAUAUCAUAUAAUAUAAAUUUUAGUUUUAAAAAUUAUUAAUUAACACGAUUGUCACAUAAUAAUUAUAUAUUUAAGAUUUUGACUUGUAUUCAUAAUCAAAAAAAUACAUUUAAGAGCAUUUCCGGCCGUAUACAUACACCACAUCCAUGGAUGCUCUUCCCCUCCAUGGUGUCCACAAGCCAUAAGGCCACACACGAUAGACGUAAGACCACUUUUAAACUUGUUCGUGGAUACCUCAUCGCUCAAACCAUCAACGAAUACCUAGUUCCGAUUUCAAUUAAUCUACUACGAACUGUUGCCUGUUGGUAUAUGAAUCUGGUCUCCUCCGUCGUAAAGAGCAAACUACCCAUUUGGUUUAAAGGCCUACGUGUCUUGACUUUGCCGAGAUCGUGUCCUUGUUACACAUAGGCGAGUUUAAUGGAAGGGAAUACAACAUGAACUUCAAGGACAUUGGGAGGGUCAUGGGGUUCCAAGACCUAGAAGACCACUCACUUCCCAAGUGUGAGAACCUCCCCACAGAGCUCUGGAAGUUGAUUACUGGAAACAAACACUCUACCGGGGCAGACAAGAACUCACACAUCCGACACCCGUCUGUACGCUACCUCCACAGAUUGCUAGUCCAUGCUUUUUACCCACGGAAGCAAGCGGGUACGGUUACUGAGGAAGACAUGCGACUGCUCUGUCCGGCUAUCCGUCCCUACGCUCAACCUGGAGUGUUACCCCUUCCCAGCACUGAUAUCUAUGCUACCUUUGGGAUUGUCAGUUUCUUUGUGGGCCGUCUCGAGCACUACAGAGACUGGGCGUGGUACACCACUGAUUCGCGCCCAAAGAUGGGGAUAGGCGGAAUGAUCACACCACUGCUCCAAUUUCUGAAUGUUCCCUUGGGAAAGGACGCAGCGGGGCCUAGGUUCAUUGAUGGCACCUACUUGAGGAUUUCCACCUAUUUCAGUGGGAUGUAUGGGAAGGACUACGUCUACCACUACUACUUGCAGGGCAAGCCAGUCGAGGUGGUUCUUCCAAACCGGAACCUGACGAGUUUAGAGAUACCUGGAGCUGUCAGCUUCAACAUUCCCCAGGAGUACUUUCUCGGAGAACACGGGCCUCUCGAUCCAAUUCAACCAGAUCCAUCAAGGAAAAGGAGUGUCCCUACGCAACCUGACUCGCCUGUUGCAGACACAUCUGAGCAUAUCUAUGGACCUCCGCGCUACUACUUCAAGCCCCAUCACGGAGUCCUUCCACCUGGAGCUCUCCGUGAUGCUCAUGACCACAUUGGUCGUCUCCAGAGGUGGAACAAAGCUCAGGACAGAACGAUAGAAAAGCUGAAGGAUAAGUGCAAGGCGCUCAGCAAGACUGUGAAGAAGCAGGCAAAGACUUCAGCAAAGUUCAUGAAGAAAGUAGCUGAUGUCUUAACUAGGGGAGGAAUAGCUGGAUGUAGCUCAGCCGAUUUCGCUUUCGCGAACACCUCAAACCCCCAGCCUCCACCCCCGCCUGAUGCUCUUGGCUUCCCCCUCACUGCUGCGCAGCUUCAGCGUAAGUGGAGGAACCCACCCACUCAACCUUCCACUUCCGGCAACAAAUCCCCAUCCCUCGCUUCUUCAGACAGUGAGGACGAGAUUGACGAGGUUGAGAGCCAGCCAUGGUAUGGAGGCUCCGGUUCAGCAUCUGGUGGUUACUACACCACCUUCCCUCCUGACGACGACGAUGCUGGGGCAUCUGCCCCCACCUACUAUCCAUAGGAGGUACUUCUUUCUCUCCCUUGUAUAUACCAUUUCAUUUUUGCAUAUUAUUUUUCUUCUCGGUAUCUCUCUCUUUCCUUGACAACACAGAGACUGUGUAUCUCAAGUUUGGGGGAGGUACCAAGCAUUUGAUCAUGUUUGCUUUGAUUGUGUUUCAUUUGAGUCAUGCAUUGCACACCUAUUUACAUAAAAAAAAAAGAUUUUUCAUUUAGUUUGCAUCAUUUGCACCAUUAGGAGAGUCUAGAGCAUAUAGGUUGCAUUCACUUGCAUUGGGAGCAAUGAUUUUAAAUGCCUUGUAAAGAACACUACGUUGCACCUGAGUAGCCAUGCACCUCUCGAAAAGACUUGUAUGUUUCGAGCCUUGAAAACUCUUCUUGAAACUUGUUGAUUGUAGAAACUCAGUCUUUGAAGCCAGCUACAACCUUAUUUGAACUGAAUGAACUUAAUGCUUCUUGCUUAGGGUCUCUUGUGUACUGAGUCAUGGCUAUACACACUUGAGUUGUCACAUCUUUUAUGCCAUUCUUUUUGACAAACUCUAGUGGUAGACCACUCCCAAAACCUUUCCUUCCUUUUAAGCUUUCAUUGUUUGAUGAGUGAGGCCUUCUUCGGAAAGUUUUACAUGUGCAUAAUGUUGAGAGUAUCGGGAACGACAAUGCUUGAUCUUCAUUUUUGCUGGAUUGGACACUCUAUUGUCUAGCUAUAGGUGGGAGGGUGAGCGUUGUAAUCAUGAUUUGGGAGAAAUAAAAAGGAUAGAUUCUUGUGCUCAAGUGAAUUGAUUUAUUGGGAUAAGUAGAGAACCUCCAGCUCUAGUUUUGAAAAGUCUUGGCCCCCAACCUUAAAAAAAAAAAAAAUAAAAAAAAUAAAAAAAAAUAAAAAAAAAAAAGAGAGAAAAAGGGGGCUAGCAAAGUUGUUAGGAGCUGAGAGACAUUUUGAGAUUGUGAAAAAUCCCUUAUAGAUUUCAAGGAAAAAGAGCUGAUGUUUUUAGAAUCUUUUGGUGAGAGGUGUGAGUUGGGUUUGACAUUUGAGAGUGAAUGUGUAACUUAUAUGUUUGGGAAAAGGGUAGAACAAUGGAGAUUGAGCAUUGUAUGCAUGAGUUGGUCCCUUUCUUAGAUAUAUUAUGUGCAAUGUCAAGGCUACUUGUUUUGAGAGUAAACCACCUUAAAGAUCAUAUGUUUUGAACCUCUUGAAUCACUUGAAUAAAAGCCUUCCCUUACCCAACCAAAUGACUUGGACCAACUGACCAUUUGCAAGAAUUCACUUGAUAUCUUAUGCUUAAUGAAUGUGAGAGUUGGCAGAUCUGAAUGUGUGGAUGCUUGAUGAUGAGUGUAGGGACAAAAGGAGUUGAGAUAGGCCUAGAGAAGCUAGAGUGUAAUAAGAGAGUGUGCUAAUUGUGUUUGCUAGUGGUGUUUCUUUUGGUUAUGAGCUCCCACCUUCAACCUCUCUCCCUAUGAGUUCUAGAAAGUUCACUUGUGGACAAGUAAAGAACAAGUUUGGGGGAGUUGAUAUCUUGCAUAUUUCUAUUGUUUUAUCCAUUCAUCCAUGUGCAUUUUGAUCAUAUAGAUUAGGAUUUAGCCAUGUUUAGGUUGCAUUUUGCAUACAUGAGUCCUUAUCAGGUAUUGGAGUACCACAUGGAGUACUUGGAGGCAUUUGGAGCUCAAAAAGGAGUGUUUAGAGUGGUCAUUGGGCGAGCAAGGGAUGGGAGCGACCAGUCCGGAGCGACACCACCAAGUCGCUCUGAUCACCAGUCUGGAGCGACCUCACUAGAGCGACAGGGAAGAGUCGCUCGCGUAUUGAUCACCCGGAGACAACGAAUCCGGAGCGACCUCUCGCAGCGACACAGCGAGGUCGCUCCCGAAUCCGGAGAGUGAAAGAUGAACACGGAUGAAAGCCUUAAAGAUCUUUUCUGAAGCUCAAAAUUUGUGGAGACACUGGAAAUUGAGUUAGCUUUCCAAUGGAAGUGGUUUCAAGUCAUUUGGAGCUGUAUUGGAUAAGUUAUAAUCGAUUUACUACAGGUGUAUCAACCCUUGCCGGGGACCACUGGAAAGUUGAUGGGAUUAACCAACUUCCCACUUUCUUCCACCCACCUUUCCUUUGCACGAUUUUUCUUACUUUUAUGUAUAAUAUCUGCUUUCUUUUUAUCAUAAGAGUGGGCAAGAAACAUCAUUAUCCAACUUUGUAAUAAUUUAACUUGUCAAAACUCUCUCUCUUUGAAAUAUCAUUGUUCUUAGUGUUCUUGAGCUGUUCUUCAAUUGUUCAUCAUCUGUUCUUGAGUUUUAAUUUCGUUUUGCUUGUUUAAUCCUUGUUUAUCUUUAUUCUCUGUUGUAUCUACUUGAAUAUGCUUCAAUCUAUUAUGAGAUUAAGUGUUUUCAUGGAGAUUAGUGAGUAGUUUCCUUAAGAAUUCAUGGGUUAGGGAGAUUAGAGUAACUUAGUGAAGAUCUAUGGUGUUAUUGUAUUAGAUCCUUGUAUGAACUUGCUUGUUGAGUAUUUUUAAUGCUUGUUUAGUCUUGAUCACUCUAAACCUGAUUUCUAAACACUUCUCAUCAGACAUGAUUAGAUGAAGUGUUUGAAUCAACUCAACUAAGCUCUAGUGAGAUUAGCCAAGGACACUUGAUGUUAAAAUUGCUAGAUAGUUAUUGAACUUGAACUUAAAGAUUGCUUGAUUGAAUUAAGCCAAAGACAUUUGAUGUUUAAUGAUUUCUAAGCAAAUGGGCAUUUACCUAGACAUAGGACUUGUCUAAGAUUGUGUUUAGACUUAAGAGAUUAUUUUGAUUGAAAGCUUGUCACCUAGAUUGGAUCUUAGUUACUUGAAGUCAAUUCCCAAUACCCAUGGAUUCACUUGUCUAAAUUGAUUAAAACCUUGUUGUAUUGCUCUGUUUGCUAUUGUUACUUGUCACACACUCACAACUAUUGAAUCUGCUUAGCUUAAGAAAUGACUUGUAUUCUCACUGAUUCACAUCACUAGGACUGGUUCGACAUUCACCCCCCUACACUACAACAUUUGCAAUAGGCAGAAAAACCUAUUAUCAAGUAACUUUCUCCCACAGCCGGAUCCAUCGACUUCUACUUCCGGCACUGCAUCCGGCCAAGAGAAUGUGCCUGAUAGCCAAGUUCCUACUGCCGAUCCGUAUGUGCCUCCACAUGCAUAUGACCCUGAAGCUUACUAUCCGCGGUUCGAUGACCCUGCUCAAUUCUUUCCCCAGUACGAUGAGCCUCCACAGCAGCCUCGUUAUGAGCAGCAUCAUCCUCCACACCAUCCUCAGCAGCAGUCCACCGCUCCCGAAUCUGCUCCGGCUCCUGCAGUUGCUCCGGCUCCUGCAGCUGCUCCGGCUCCUGCAUUUGUUCAUCCAGAUUUGAUGGUGCCACCAAAUGCACCAUAUGCAAGAUAUACAGUGGAAGAUCUUCUCCAGAUGCCGGGACGAGAAGGUUUACCAAUCAUCAACCCAGAUCGACCACCCCCCACACUUACCGGUAAUUUUUUAAUUUAUUAAAGUUUUUAUUGCAUUUAAAUAUACUAAUUAUACAUAUUGCUCUAAAUAUAUGUAUUCUUUCAAGUUUUGUAGGUUUUCGACGGACAAUUGUGUGGGACAGAGCGUUGGAGAUAUCAUCAGGGCAAACUUCCGGGAAGCGCAUCCGAACUGGUCUCUCACACCUGACCACGUUCGGAGGACUUGGUUCAAGUGCUUCGUGGUUAGUUUUAAAUAUAAUUUUUAAUUGUUUAUUUACUUAAUUUAAUUUUUUUAUUGUAGCAAAAAUGGAAUUGGUCCAUUGCUGUCAACGAAAAAGUGAAGGAAAAGUUCUACAAAAAGGCGAUGGAUCGCCUAAAGAACAUUGUUGGUGAUUGGAAGGAGAAGUGGAGGGUUUUGGGGGACGACGAAAAAGAAGCCUACUUCAGCAAUGACGUUUGGAAGAGUUUGAAGGCUUAUUGGAAUUUGCCUAAGUCAGUUCAGAGGUCUCUCCCUUGCUCUAUGACUCGGUUGACCCGCGAUGAUGAUGGUAACCUGCCAGUACCUCAUACUUCCGGACAGAUUCCACACGCUGGGAGGGCACUACAAAUUGUAAGUCUUCGAUCUUUCUUAAUUUUUAUUAAAUAUAUAUUAAUUGAAUAUUUUUUUAAUGCGUGAGUUUAAUUUAAAUUUUUUUUUAAUACAGGCUGCCCAAGAAGGAGCACCACCAUCUCUAGCCCGACUUUACAAGACGACACACCAGCAUUCUGAUGGCACCUUCUCGCAUCCUCGAGCAGAGAGGAUCGACAACACUGUUGAGGCCCGGAUCCAGGAGGUCGAGACUCAGUUGUCGCAACAAAAUCCGGAAGGUGCACCGGUCCAGCUGUCCACCGUCGAACAAGACAAAAAUUUUUGAGCAGGUUAGAAAGUUGAUCUCUUAAAUAUAUAUGUUUAUUUACAUUUUUUAUUCUUUAAGUUAGUUUUACAUAUGUACUAAUUAAAUAUCUAUUUAUUAAUUGAAGGUUGCCCCGAAAAAAAGGGGACGUAUUGUCAGGAUCGGGUCUGUCAACGAUGUCCUGAGGGCGAGAGCUGAACACGCUGCAAGAAUGGAAGAAGAAUCUUCUCUCCGUAGGGAUUUGACUGCGGCCAAAGAAGUCAUAGCUGACCAGAGGGACAAAUUUGCAUAUAUGGCAAAUAUGUUCGAUAUGAUGAUAGAGACAACCCCAAACAUCAACCCGGCUCUUGCCUCUAGGUGGCAGUCUCUACAUCUGAGCUUUAUCCCCGAGCCCACUCCGGAAGAGCAGGCAUAUUUAGAGCGACGUGCGGAUGAGCAUAGUUCCGACCUCUUCGACGAAAUAAACCUUAACACUUAGUUUUUUUGGUUUUAGUUAAUUAGUAUUAUGAAUGUUUUAUAUUACGGAUAUUAUUAUGUUUCUGAAUGUUAGAUAUUUUCUUUUAAUUUUAUCGAAUUUUAAAAAUUAAAAUCAAAAUAAAUUUAAAUAUUUGAUUUUAAUUAAUAUAUUAAAUUCGUAAUUAAAUACAAAAUUCGAAAAUAAAUAAAUAAAGUGGGUUAAUUUACGACUAAUGAACAUCUAACGUCGAUGUAAAGUGGUCGUUACAUUACGACAAACAAACAUCGACAUAGAAGCAAAUUGGUCGUAAGUUUACGACCAAUGUACAUCUAAUUUAUGAGACGUAAAUGUGCGUCACAUGUACGACUAAUGAUUUUACGUUUAACUUACGACCAAGUGUCUGAGUCGUACAUUUACGUUUGCUUUACGACUAAUGCAUUUACGUUUAACUUACGACCAAUUUAUUGAGUCAUACGUUUACGUCUGCUUUACGUGUAACACCAUUAGUCGUAACUUUACGAUCAAUGUGCCUCGAAUAAUUAUUUACGACCAGCUUCUAACGACCAAUCGUUUUUCGAAGCUAAUUGGCCGUAAAGCCUAUAUUACAACCAAAUAGCUACUAAUAUUGUAGUCGUUAAUGUCCCGUUUGCUUGUAGUGUAAAUACUUUCUGAAUAAUAUAUUAGGGUUAGAGCUCUUAAAUUAUAUGAAUAAGCUUGGGUCAAUCUUAAAUCUCUGAACCCUAUACAACAUCCCUAGUGAUAAUCCGUAUAUCAUAUAAUAUAAAUUUUAGUUUUAAAAAUUAUUAAUUAACACGAUUGUCACAUAAUAAUUAUAUAUUUAAGAUUUUGACUUGUAUUCAUAAUCAAAAAAAUACAUUUAAGAGCAUUUCCGGCCGUAUACAUACACCACAUCCAUGGAUGCUCUUCCCCUCCAUGGUGUCCACAAGCCAUAAGGCCACACACGAUAGACGUAAGACCACUUUUAAACUUGUUCGUGGAUACCUCAUCGCUCAAACCAUCAACGAAUACCUAGUUCCGAUUUCAAUUAAUCUACUACGAACUGUUGCCUGUUGGUAUAUGAAUCUGGUCUCCUCCGUCGUAAAGAGCAAACUACCCAUUUGGUUUAAAGGCCUACGUGUCUUGACUUUGCCGAGAUCGUGUCCUUGUUACACAUAGGCGAGUUUUGAGCAUCUUACAAACACAUCGUUUAUGAUAAUGCUAAAGUUUAAGCCAAAGCAAAAGCUUAUUAUUACCAAAGAAAGAGUGGUAAUCUAUAACGUGUUACAAACUCAGUAGUAUUAUAUAGUCAAGCAAAUUAAUUUGGGUUAUUUAUUAGUCAAUUAAAAAUCUUUUUUUUUGAACGAUAAUUUCAUUACUUAACAAAGCGGUCACAAAGGAUAGGUGGAGUAGUUGAGAAGCGCGCUCUUGGCGAGUUCAUCAGCUGCCCUAUUGUCUGAACGAGGAACAUAAUGAAAGGAGAUUACAUCAAGGUCACAAGCUAACUUAAGAAUAUCAUGAAGAAUUCCAAAGAGAUCCUUGAUUGAUUCUCGAUUGUUGAUGGCUCGGACUAAAGUCUGAGCGUCUGACUUGAGGAUGACGUUGUUGAAACCUUGUGCUUUGGCUUGGCGUAGAGCUUCCCUUAUCGCUAAGGCCUCCGCCAUCUGAGCUGAGUUUACACAAUCUUCGAAUAGGCCCUGUUGGUGUAACACAUGUCCUGAUGGUGUUGAGAAAACCCAAGCCAAUCCUGCAGAAAAGAGUUCUUUUUUCCAUGAUGCAUCAGUGUUGAUAAUCAAGGCGUCCGUUCGAGGCAAUGGUAGCGUCGAAGCCUGUAGAUGUGGUUUUGGCCCAGUUUGUCGCCCAGGUUGUGCUUCUUGCCAUUCACGCGCGUCUGCUAUUGCUUUCGAGAGUGUCUCCGCUGGUUUGAAAACCCUGUUUUCGAAGAUCUUCAAAUUUCGUGUAAUCCAGAUGUUCCAAACAAUCCAAGGGAACAGAGGUCCCAUGUGAAGUCCUGUAGGGGGUAGGUUAGUCAGCUUUGUUCCAAGUUUGAGUGCUUCUUCGAAGUCCAAUGCUGUGGUGAUGACCGCUAAGUUGCUUAUUGGAGCUGCAGACCAGAUGUCAACUGCGAAUUGGCAGUGAAGAAAGAGAUGUGAGGCUGUUUCCUUCAUACCACAAUGAGUACAUGUGAGGUUCUCCGUCAAUCCUCGAGUUUCCAGAUUUUCCCCUAGUGGCAAUGCUCCUUUGGUGAUUUUCCACAGAAACACACGAAGCUUUGGAGGUAGAGGCACUGUCCAAAUAUCUUUCCUCCAGUCCACGUUGGUUUGAGUUGUAUGAGGCAGGUUGCUUGUGAUCUUCAUCUCCAGUGCAGUGAAAUAGCCCGUUCGGGUGGAGUAUUCUCCAUCUUUUGUUGGUAACCAGCAGUGCUUGUCAAGGGCACCCGAGGUACUAGGCCUAAGGCAAAGUAUUGAUGGUGCUUCAAUUGGGAAGAUAUGAGAAACUAGCUCUCUGUUCCAAGUUCCCGAAGGUUGAUCAAUUAAAUCCGCCACUGUGAGGUCCUUUGUUGCCAGUUCCGGAGGUCCCAUUGGUUGGGCUAGCUCAGAAGUAGAUAUCCAUGGUUCAUCCCAAAUACGAGUAUCAGCUCCAUUCCCAAUCACCUUCCCCGUUUUUUUCCAGCAGUAGGUCUCUUCCACACAAAACACUUCGCCAACCAUGUGAGCAAGAGCUUGAAGCUUGAACCGCCAUGAAGUUCGUUGCUUUGCAAUAUUUGCCAAGCAAAACCUUAGCGAGGAGACAAUCCGGUUUCAUUUGUAUCCUCCAGCUUUGCUUUGCCAAGAGGGCGUCGUUGAAAGCUUCAACUUCCCGGAAGCCCAGUCCGCCAUCUUUCAUAGAUUUUGUUACUUCCGACCAGGCGACCCAGCACAUUUUCCUCUCUUCUGGGCUUGCAUCCCACCAGUAUCUUGUCAGUGCGGCUUGGAUCCUUUUGGUGAGACUUUUGGGUAGCUUGAAGCACAUCAUUGAGUGAGAGGGAACCGCCGAUAAUACUGACUUGAUCAUUACAAGUUUACCAGUGGCCGAGAGCUGUCUUGUACUCCAGCUUGCCGCCUUUUGUCUGAUCUUAUCCACAAUAGAGGUGAACAUGUCUUUUUUUUUCUUGCAAAAAUGUUCUGGAAGUCCUAGGUAUUUGCCCACUCCUCCUUUUUUGGAUAUUCCCAAGGUAGCUUUGACUCUUUCCCGGACCUCAGCUGGAGUUUUCCUAGAGAAAGUGAUCGAUGAUUUUGUUGCAUUAAUCACUUGUCUCGACACAGAUUCAUACUUCCUUAGCACGUCUCGAAGGGCAGUGACACUCGUUGGGUUGGUCUUGACGACGAACAUGGUGUCGUCGGCGAAAAGUAAAUGGUUUAUCUUCGGACUUCCCCUGGCUACUUGGAUUCCAGCGAGAGAGCCACGGCGUUGUGCAGCUGAGCAGAGUCCAGAAAGAACCUCACUGCAUAGUAUGAAGAUAUACGGGGAAAGGGGGUCACCCUGUCUGAUUCCGCGGGUUGGUGUGAUCAUUCCCUGCGCCUCUCCAUUCAGAAGGAUAGAGUAUGUGACGGAUGUAAUGCAUCGCAUGAUCCAGCGUUUGCAAUCGUCGUGUAACCCCAGUCGUUUCAAAACAGCAUCCACGAAGUUCCACUCAAGCCGGUCAUACGCCUUGCUCAUGUCCGUUUUUACGGCCAUGGCACAGUGCUUUGUAGCUCCCGAUCGCUUCAAGUAGUGUAGCGUUUCGUGUGUGAUCAUGAUGUUGUCCGCUAUUGCUCUCCCCGGAAUGAAAGCUGAUUGGUUCUCGGAGAUAAUAGUGUCAAGAACAGGUUGCAGCCGCCUUGUUAGUAUCUUCGACACUAUUUUGUAGUAGACAUUGCAUAAUGCAAUGGGUCUGUAGUCAGCCGCCGAUUCGGGUCCCGAUAUCUUCGGGAAGAGCCGCAUGUGCGUGUGGUUAAAGUUGAGAGGCAGGGUAUCGUGUGGGAAGAACGCAAUUAUUUCCUCAGAGAUUGCUGGUCCGACUAUAUCCCAGUUAGUACGGAAGAAACUCGAAGAGAAUCCAUCCGGCCCCGGAGCUUUGUCCGGAUGGAUUGAAAAGACAGCUUCCUUUAUUUCUUUUGGUGUGGGGAUGGCAGCUAGGGAACAUUUAUAGUUGCCUUCGACUGUAUGGGAGAGUGCUUCGUCAACUACAUUUGAUGGUGGCGGGUUGGUUGUAGUGAAGAGUUUCGAGAAGUAAUCAGUGAUGACCUCAAGGAUUUCAUGUUCGUCAAUUAAAAAUCUAAGAUAUUGAAAUUCUAAUUUAAUAAUUUAUCUAUAAUAUAUAUGAGUGAAAUGAAAUAUGAUAAAAUCCUGGAAUAAUAUCUAUAAUUUAUCUAUAGUAUCUGCUCCACUAAAAUAAAAUGAUAAUAUCCUGCCAUCCUGGAAAUUGAGUGAUGCUAAUAUAAUAGAAUAAACUUUGCCUAAAACUACCAAAACUUCAAGACCCAUAAGUGAAAUCUAAGUCUUCGAUGGCUUCUACUCUAACACAAACCACACAAACCAUAAAUAGUUUCCACCUCUUCAUUCUAUAUAAGCAUACGAAUGAGUCAUACUGAUCAUCAUUCAUUAGUAAAUUAAGAUACAAUACUAAGAUGGCAUCUUCUAAAGUAUCUUCCAUGCUUCUCUUUCUCCUCCUUCUCGUUCUUGUGUUUCCCCAUAUGGAUAAAGCCCUUGGUGAAAAAAGACAGCUCCACGAACUUAGUUAGUCUUUUUGUCUUUAAAUAUAUAAAGUCAUAGCUAUUUACUCUAUUAUUUUGAUCUAUUUAGAAAUGUUUUGAACUUUUUUUUUCUUUAAUUUAGCUUGGUUUUAGUUCACAACUAACUAUAUCACAUUAAUUUUUAUAAACAGAAGAUAAACCAUUGUAGUUUUGUUUCCUGUCUUGUUUCGUUCAGACCGAAGUUUAUUGUGAUAGAUGACAAAAUAAAACAAUAUAUAUNNNNNNNNNNNNNNNNNNNNNNNNNNNNNNNNNNNNNNNNNNNNNNNNNNNNNNNNNNNNNNNNNNNNNNNNNNNNNNNNNNNNNNNNNNNNNNNNNNNNNNNNNNNNNNNNNNNNNNNNNNNNNNNNNNNNNNNNNNNNNNNNNNNNNNNNNNNNNNNNNNNNNNNNNNNNNNNNNNNNNNNNNNNNNNNNNNNNNNNNNNNNNNNNNNNNNNNNNNNNNNNNNNNNNNNNNNNNNNNNNNNNNNNNNNNNNNNNNNNNNNNNNNNNNNNNNNNNNNNNNNNNNNNNNNNNNNNNNNNNNNNNNNNNNNNNNNNNNNNNNNNNNNNNNNNNNNNNNNNNNNNNNNNNNNNNNNNNNNNNNNNNNNNNNNNNNNNNNNNNNNNNNNNNNNNNNNNNNNNNNNNNNNNNNNNNNNNNNNNNNNNNNNNNNNNNNNNNNNNNNNNNNNNNNNNNNNNNNNNNNNNNNNNNNNNNNNNNNNNNNNNNNNNNNNNNNNNNNNNNNNNNNNNNNNNNNNNNNNNNNNNNNNNNNNNNNNNNNNNNNNNNNNNNNNNNNNNNNNNNNNNNNNNNNNNNNNNNNNNNNNNNNNNNNNNNNNNNNNNNNNNNNNNNNNNNNNNNNNNNNNNNNNNNNNNNNNNNNNNNNNNNNNNNNNNNNNNNNNNNNNNNNNNNNNNNNNNNNNNNNNNNNNNNNNNNNNNNNNNNNNNNNNNNNNNNNNNNNNNNNNNNNNNNNNNNNNNNNNNNNNNNNNNNNNNNNNNNNNNNNNNNNNNNNNNNNNNNNNNNNNNNNNNNNNNNNNNNNNNNNNNNNNNNNNNNNNNNNNNNNNNNNNNNNNNNNNNNNNNNNNNNNNNNNNNNNNNNNNNNNNNNNNNNNNNNNNNNNNNNNNNNNNNNNNNNNNNNNNNNNNNNNNNNNNNNNNNNNNNNNNNNNNNNNNNNNNNNNNNNNNNNNNNNNNNNNNNNNNNNNNNNNNNNNNNNNNNNNNNNNNNNNNNNNNNNNNNNNNNNNNNNNNNNNNNNNNNNNNNNNNNNNNNNNNNNNNNNNNNNNNNNNNNNNNNNNNNNNNNNNNNNNNNNNNNNNNNNNNNNNNNNNNNNNNNNNNNNNNNNNNNNNNNNNNNNNNNNNNNNNNNNNNNNNNNNNNNNNNNNNNNNNNNNNNNNNNNNNNNNNNNNNNNNNNNNNNNNNNNNNNNNNNNNNNNNNNNNNNNNNNNNNNNNNNNNNNNNNNNNNNNNNNNNNNNNNNNNNNNNNNNNNNNNNNNNNNNNNNNAAGAGUGUUAAUCUUUAACAUCUAAGUUUACAAAUUCAGUAGUAUUAUAUAGUCAAGCAAAUUAAUUUGGGUUAUUCAUUAGUCAAUUAAAAAUAUAAGAUAUUGAAAUUGGAAUUUAAUAAUUUAUCUAUAAUAUAUAUGAGUGAAAUGAAAUAAGAUAAAUCCUGGAAUAAUAUCUAUAAUUUAUCUAUAAUAUCUGCUCCACUAAAAUGAAAUGAUAAUGGGGUGAUUGGUAGUUGUUGUAGGUGCUGUCCACAGUUCUAUUUAUUUCCAAAGCACCAAAUUCAGAGCAAUCAAGCUUUAAAUUUUUUUUUGAAACCACAGCUCUUGAAAUAACCUACAGCUGUACAAGUGCUCUGCAGAGCCAAAUAUCCAAAGCAAUUUUUUAGUGCUUUCCAUAAAAUUCUACAGCAAUAAAUUCUACAGCCACAUCAAAAAGUCUACAGAUUUUUUUUUACAGCAAAAAUUUUAAAACUACGGCCCUUACCAAUCAGACCCAAUAUCCUGCCGUCCUGGAAAAUGAGUCAUGCUAAUAUAAUAGAAUAAAAUUUGCCUAAAACUACCAAAACUUCUAAGACCCAUAAGUGAAAUCUGAGUCAUCGAUGGCUUCAACUCUAGCACAAACCACACAAACCAUAAAUAGUUUUCACCUCUUCAUUUUAUAUAAAUGCAUACCAAUGGGUCAUAUUGAUCAUCACUCAUCAGUAAAUUAAGAGACAAUACUAAGAUGACAUCUUCUAAAGUGUCUUACAUGCUUCUCUUCCUCCUUCUCGUUCUUGUGUUUCCCCAUAUGGAUAAAGUCCUUGGUGAAAAAGACAGCUUCACAACCUUAGUUAGUCUUUUUGUCUUUAAAUAAAGUCAUAGCUAUUUACUCUAUUAUUUUGAUCUAUUUAGAAAUGUUUUGAACUUUUUUUCUCUUUAAUUUAGCUUGGUUUUAGUUCACAACUAACUAUAUCACAUUAAUUUUUAUAAACAGAAGAUAAACUAUUGUAGUUUUGUUUCCUGUCUUGUUUCGUUCAGACCGAAGUUUAUUGUGAUAGAUGACAGAAUAAAACAAUCUCUUUCUUAUUAUUUGAGGAGCAUUAUAAAAAACUAACCUUGAGUUCAUGUGUUAUUAUCAAAAUUGUCAUUUCCUACGUGACAUAACCACAAGCUCUCUCACACCAUAUAUUCAAAAAACCUUUGUUUAUUAGACUAAUUACAAAAAUUGACAUUAAUCAUUUGAUUGUAACUUGACAUAAUAUAUUAUAAGCUUUUUCAUUAUUGACUAACAAAAGAAAAAAUCAUGUGAAGAUUUAAUGUGUAGUCCUAUGAUUGCACAAAUUAAGCAAAUAAGUUAAUGCGUAAUCAUUAUUAGUUUCCUAUAUUCAUCAAAACUAUUGAUCCGUGAUAUAUUUUCGUAUUUAUUAUCUUUUGUGAGUCUUUUUUUACAGAAUCCAAUUUAUGAAAACUUUGACCAAGUCAUAGUCGAGAUAUUAUUAUAGUUAAAUAGAUGAGACAAAAAUAUUGUAUUGGUUUUUACAAGUAUUCAUCAUAUAGCAUGUUUUAUAAUAUUCAAACGAUAUGCAUAUAUAAAAAAGUAUAGUAAAUGUAAUUAUUUUAAAAACUUUUGUACUACAUAAUUAGGUUUACCAAAAAAGAAAGUUGUGUGCCAUGGAAUUUCCUUUUUAUUAUUUGAGGGCUAAGACAAUAUAUAAGACAAAAAUCCAUAUUUUAUUAAUGUUAUAUGAAAUUAAUUAUCAUGUUAAAUGAUAAUACAUUGCUAAUAAUCAUGUUCUUGAGUGAUUGUAAAAUACAUUCAAAAUGAAUUCCAUAAUAAUUUUUUUCCAAUCCCUUAACUUUUGCAACAAGACUAUUUGAUUACGAAAUUAACAUAAAUGCUGACAGACAUUAAAUUUUGAAAUUUAUAUAAUACUUUCUGGUUAAGUUUAAAGUUAAAUAUCAUGUUCUUUACAAUUCAUAAAUGAUACAUGACACUUUUAGAGUCUGGAAAAUAUAAAUGAUUCAUAAUUAUGUUCUUCUAUAAAACUUUGGUACAUGAUAUUAAUUUUGAUUAAUAUUUUUUUAUAUUUUAUGGGAUAUGUGACAUUUAUGAUUGUGUAUGGACAAUAUAAACUCGACUAUAUUGUAAAAUAAAAAUGCCGUAUAUCAAAAGUAUACAAAAAGUUAAAUGCAAUCUUGAGUGAUUGUUAAAUACAUUCAAAAUGGAAUGACAUAUUAAUUUUUUUUUCAAUUCCUUAUUUUUUGCAACAAGAUUUUUGUAUUAUGAAAUUAACAUAAAUGGUGAUAGACAUUAAAUUUGGAAAUUCAUAUAAUUUUUUCGGGUUAAGUUUGAAGUCAAAUAUCAUUUUUAAUAUGGAAUUCUUUAAAUAUUGAGAUCUGUUGAUAGCUCAUUUGUCUAUUUACAAUUCAUCAGUUGAAUUCCCUCAGACUUGGGUCACUCGAUUCAGCUUCUAACCUUCUUAGAUAUUGGAAUUGAGCUUAGUUAACCAAAUCUAGAUAUCUCAGGUGAUUAGUAGAGAUAUUGAAUCCAACUAACGGACCGUAGCCCUUUAUCUUGUGUCUUCUCGAAACUUUUUAAUAAAAACAAACUUUUUGAAACAAAAGAUAAAUAAAAAGAGACUCAUAUGUAUUUUGACUGAUAAUGGAUAUUAAGGUUCAAUAAUAGACUUCUUUUACAAUUUUGAGUUCUAAUCAAUCCACUGGAUAGAAAAUUCUUAUUAUUUACUUCUUUUGUUCUUUUUUUUCAUUUUCAUAUUAUUUACUUCAGUUUACUUUUAUUAUUCUAUAACUUUUAUGUACUCUAGAACCAGUAUAAUUAUAAUAAAAUAUGAUGAUAUAACUUAUAAAUAAUAAAACAACUAUUGUUUAUCGACCAUAAUAAGCUUAUCGUUAUCCCAAAUUGGAUCAUUUUAUUUCCAUUAAUCUGUACAUCAAACGUUACUUCUUUUAAUCUAUAUAUACAUGUCACUAUUACUUUUACCUUUUCAAUUUAUAUCUUAAAAUUUAUAAUUAUUUUAAUUUAUUCGCCCUGCGCCCAGGUCAUCACCUAGUAUAUAUCUAUUUAAGUUGGGAUUAUGCGAAUUGAUAGACAAAUGUCCACUUUAACAAAACUUGGCGCUGUAGUAAUUAAUUCGUUAAGUGGUUUUGGUGUAGAACGCACAGAGCAUCCCGAUCAACUGAUGACGGUUGGAAGGAGCCUUCUCUUUCGUAUCCCUCCAUGCCCACCGUCCUUAUGUAAGCCUCGUCCGAUAAGAAUUCCUCCCCGACGUCGUACACCUCCACCCCCUCCACGGCAUUGAAGGUUUCCAAAAGGCAAAAACACAUGGAUCCCAAAACAUUUGGAUGAAAAUAUAUUUUCGUAAUUCCUCACUAUAAAUGUAAUUCUGAAAUUUUCUUUCAAAAUAAAGAGAUCAUGCCACUCGGGAUGAUGGUAUGAUGAUAUGUUGUUGUAAGUUUUAAGCUAUUGUAUGAUGAUAUAUUUGUUGAUAUUGUGUCGAUAGAGAAAGUGGCAAAAAAGAAAAAAUUUAAAGAAAGAAAUGAGAAGAUGUUUGAUACGACAUUCUAUAUUAUAUAAAUGAUAUUUUCAAGUCACUUAAAAUAUUUUUUCUCUCCGAGCGACAAUAAAGGCGACUCUUUAUAUUGACGGUUAUCUAAAUUUUUUUCACCGUUCCCUGCGGCGUAGGCCGCCGGAUUUCACUAUUUUCCUGCUUAUUUUACUUUCUACUUUCAAUUUGGCUAGUAUAUGAUGUCUUCUUCAUUACUCCCUCCGUUUCUGAAAAAGUGUCGUUGUAGAGAAUUUUUUUCGCUACAAAAUAAGUGUUGUUUUCGAUUCUCAAUGCAAAAUUUAUUAGUUUUAUUCAGUAAUCUAUUUUUCUAUUGGUUGAAAUAUGGUUAGGGGUAUCGGUAAUUAUGUUUUUUUAUAGGAAAUGUACAAAAUUAAUUGUUUCCUUAGUCCGUGUGCACAGACCCAAAAAGACACUUAAUAUGACACAGAGGAUAUGAGUUUUCAUCAUCUUCAUCUUCCGUUUUCUGAUGAAAAUCGAGGGCUGUCACUAUCUCCAUUAGUGAUAGAUCUUGCUCGAUCCUUUAUUCGGUUAUUGGCGUUAUUCCUCGUCGUAUUUGGCGUGUGUGUUUUCCCUUUAAUAGGGUGGGAUUCCCCGGUCUGUGAUCUUCGAUUCAGUGCCGAAGUUUGUGUAUCAGCUUUUGGGUUUCGUGGUGUAUUCCUGGUGGCAAAUAUUCAAUCAGAUUAUCUUCAACCUCUCAGGCUUCAUUUGUUAAUCGCAUGGCUGAACGAUUUGUUCCGAAUUCAAUCAACGAAGCGAGCCCUUAAAAAUCGCAUGGCUGAACUAUUUGUUCCGAAUUCAAACAACUUCCAUAUAAUGCCUGGAAAAUCUUCAUCAUACAGGCAAUUAAAAAUCAAAUACUGGUUAGAUUUUUUAUUUUCAAAUUUCAAUGCAUGUAAAUUUUUUUAAAAAAUAUUUAAUUCCAUUGGAAACCUCGAACCCAGAAGUCAAUUUGUAACAUUUAAAACGUUUUUCUAUCGAUUAAAAUAAUUGCAAUUAGAAUAUAAAAACUAUAGGGUGCACAAUUAUCACUAGUAGUUUUGUUUUCUUUAAUCUUGAUAAUUUCCCUUAACAUGUAUCUUGUCAGCAAUAUUCGUUUCCCAAUUUAUUAUUAGAUAGUUGACAGAUGCAAUGUCCUUACAAUACACCAUUUGCAUUUCUUUGUAUUUGUCUUCGUCAACCACCAUUUGGGAUUUCUAGAGUUUGAUACCCAGCAAACUUUCUUAUCAGUUGCUUGUAAGAAAAAAUUGGCAUUUGCCACAAUAACAAUUACUAUUUUUGAAAUGUAUUACUGGUGAAUGAUAUACAAUAUUUUGUACUAUUUAAGACAUUCAUAAAGAUCUGGUUGUUAAAUAUUAAUUAUCUAUUAGGAAAGUGAUAAGUUCAGAAAGAGAUAAUGCUUAUCGUAUUAUGUUUUGUCUUCUUGUCUAAGUCGGUCUAAUCACACCGACUUAUAUCUCCUAUAUAAAGAACUUGUACGUGAUGAAUGAAAUGAUGAAAAACAAGUCUUUUGACUCUCUUUUGUAAUACAUAUAUUUCUUAGACAAGUCAAUAUCUCAUAUCCCUCUCUCUCCAUCGAUCAACAUAUAUUUAUAUAUAAAGAAAAUAAACAACAUCUGAUCCUUAUUAUACAACACGUUAUCAGCACGAUGCUCUGACCAAUUGAGUUUAUCAAUCCGAAAAUUCUUAAACCAGUCGAGGUAAUGUUUAAAUUUAUGUGUUUCAAUAUACUUAAUUUUUUUAAAUUUUAUUAUUGUUCCGGAGUGAAAGGCUAGGCCUUCUCCGUUUAUUUUCGGAAUGAUAGGCGACGCCUUCCGCGACUGAUCGUUAUGGUAGGCUAUGCCUUCACGAUCAGAGAAACACGUGAAUAAAAAAAAUGCCUCCAUGAAUAAAAAAAAUAAAAUAAAGGUCAAAAAUGGCAAACUAAGUCUCCUCGGACCACCACCGGGCUUGCUAUUCGUAGGUGAACAAUCAAGAAAAUUAACUUGGGUUAUUCAUUAGUCAAUUAAAAAUCUAAGAUAUUGAAAUUGAAAUUUAAUAAUUUAUCAAUAAUAUAUAUGAGUGAAAUGAAUUCCUCCUCGACGUCGUACACCUCCACCCCCUCCACGUCAUUGAAGAUUUCCAGAAGGAUAAAACACAUGGAUCCAAAAAUAUUUGGAUGAAAAUAUAUUUUCGUGAUUCCUCACUAUAAAUGUGAUUCUCAAAAUUUUCUUUCAAAAUAAAGAGAUCAUGCCACUCGGGAUGAUGGUAUGAUGAUAUGUUGUUGUAAGCUAUUGUGUGAUGAUAUAUUUGUUGAUAUUAUUCAACGUAAAUAAAUAUAGUUUAUGGAUUUGUGUCGAUAGAGAAACUGGAAAGAAAG
RNAcentral lists this long non-coding RNA (27692 nucleotides) under Brassica napus (rape). RNAcentral describes it as "long non-coding RNA (BNAP_LNC019108)". The record is from RNAcentral. Lineage: Eukaryota; Viridiplantae; Streptophyta; Magnoliopsida; Brassicales; Brassicaceae.